This 433-nucleotide ribosomal RNA is filed under the name uncultured bacterium. Its description in RNAcentral is "partial 16S ribosomal RNA". It matches the Rfam family "Bacterial small subunit ribosomal RNA", at positions 29 to 507 of the family's 1533-position model. The record is from RNAcentral.
AACGAACGCUGGCGGCAUGCCUAACACAUGCAAGUCGAACGAUACCUUCGGGUCUAGUGGCGCACGGGUGCGUAACGCGUGGGAACCUGCCCUUAGGUUCGGAAUAACUCCCCGAAAGGGGUGCUAAUACCGGAUAAUGUCUUCGGACCAAAGAUUUAUCGCCUUUGGAUGGGCCCGCGUUGGAUUAGCUAGUUGGUAGGGUAAAAGCCUACCAAGGCGACGAUCCAUAGCUGGUCUGAGAGGAUGAUCAGCCACACUGGGACUGAGACACGGCCCAGACUCCUACGGGAGGCAGCAGUGGGGAAUAUUGGACGAUGGGCGAAAGCCUGAUCCAGCAAUGCCGCGUGAGUGAUGAAGGCCUUAGGGUUGUAAAGCUCUUUUAACCGGGAUGAUAAUGACAGUACCGGGAGAAUAAGCUCCGGCUAACUACGUG